AGGACGAACGCUGGCGGCGCGCUUAACACAUGCAAGUCGAACGGGGCCCUUCGGGGUUCAGUGGCGAACGGGUGCGUAACACGUGAGUGACCUGCCCUUAUAUGGGGGAUAACCCGGGGAAACCCGGGCUAAUACCGCAUGCGCUCUUGAGGCUUCCGGGCCUUGGGAGGAAGGUGCUUUACGGCAUCGUAUGAGGAGGGGCUCGCGGCGUAUCAGGUAGUUGGUAGGGUAACGGCCUACCAAGCCUAUGACGCGUAGGGGGUCUGAGAGGAUGGCCCCCCAGAUUGGGACUGAGAUACGGCCCAGACUCCUACGGGAGGCAGCAGUGGGGAAUCUGCGCAAGUGGCCGAAAGGCUGACGCAGCGACGCCGCGUGCGGAUGACGCUUUCGGAGUGUAAACCGCGUGGUCGGGUGGGAAGGAAGGUCCCGGGAGAAAGUGGCCGUUGGGAU
RNAcentral lists this ribosomal RNA (450 nucleotides) under uncultured soil bacterium. RNAcentral describes it as "bacterial SSU rRNA". It matches the Rfam family "Bacterial small subunit ribosomal RNA", at positions 26 to 475 of the family's 1533-position model. The record is from RNAcentral.